Caenorhabditis elegans is the source of this 87-nucleotide non-coding RNA. Lineage: Eukaryota; Metazoa; Nematoda; Chromadorea; Rhabditida; Rhabditidae. The record is from Ensembl.
GGAGGAGUCGCCUGUUUGGUCACUUUUGUGUUUGCGAGGAGUCGCUGCUUCUCGUCAGAUUAGGCGGGUUAACAAGCAGGUCGCCAC